RNAcentral lists this long non-coding RNA (337 nucleotides) under Gossypium barbadense (sea-island cotton). RNAcentral describes it as "long non-coding RNA (GBAR_LNC022821)". Lineage: Eukaryota; Viridiplantae; Streptophyta; Magnoliopsida; Malvales; Malvaceae. The record is from RNAcentral.
GGUAAUAAAAAUAAUGAGCAGAUAUGACAUAUCCUCAAAUUUUCUUCCACUCCCCUACUAACUCUUAAUUGCCUCAGAGUUCCAACUCCACUGAAACACUAACGCAAAACCAAGCAAAAAUCAAUUCCCAUGCUCGCACUGGGAUUCGAACACAGGACCUCCAGCACACCAACUUCUUUACUACUCGAACCAGCAGGCUCAUUCUAAUAUAAAAUUACAGACAAUCAAAUAUAAGCCCACUAAACAAGGAUAAGGCUUAAUUCCAAAAAAAACUAAAAUUGCUAAAGGUAAGGCUUGAACUUAGGACCUCUCAGACAUUCCCAGAACACUUGACCAC